GGACCCCACUGCUAUCGGGAUAGGACUAAGACAUGCUAGUCGUGUGACUCAGGCAAAACGAGUCACGGCACACAGCUCAGUAACACGUGGCUAAUCUGCCCUUAGGACGAGACCAACCCCGGGAAACUGGGGAUAAUCCUCGAUAGGUGAAGAACUCUGGAAUGAGUCUUUGCCUAAAAGGCGUUGGAUCAUGCUUUCAGCGUCGCCUAAGGAUGGGGCCGCGACCGAUCAGGUUGUUGGUGAGGUAAUGGCCCACCAAGCCUAUAACCGGUGCGGGCCGUGAGAGCGGGAGCCCGGAGAUGGGCACUGAGACAAGGGCCCAGGUCCUACGGGGCGCAGCAGUCGCGAAAACUUUGCAAUACACGAAAGUGUGACAGGGUCAUCCCGAGUGCCGACCGCU
This 400-nucleotide ribosomal RNA is filed under the name uncultured archaeon. RNAcentral describes it as "bacterial SSU rRNA". It matches the Rfam family "Archaeal small subunit ribosomal RNA", at positions 19 to 396 of the family's 1478-position model. The record is from RNAcentral.